GGCGCUAUAGCCAAGUGGUUACGGCGACAGAUUAGAAUGAAGGGGUCAUCAUAAAGUCACCUUAUCUGUUCCUCUUUGAGGGCGCAGGUUCAAAUCCUGCUGGCGUCG
Molecule: non-coding RNA, 108 nt
Organism: Lentinula lateritia
Lineage: Eukaryota; Fungi; Basidiomycota; Agaricomycetes; Agaricales; Omphalotaceae
Source: the annotation of a GenBank genome assembly